Molecule: unclassified non-coding RNA, 335 nt
Filed under: fungal sp.
Lineage: Eukaryota; Fungi
Description: partial internal transcribed spacer region
Rfam family: Eukaryotic small subunit ribosomal RNA (bases 1-46)
Source: RNAcentral
AAGUCGUAACAAGGUUUCCGUAGGUGAACCUGCGGAAGGAUCAUUAACACGUUUCAACGUUCUCAACCCUCUGUGAACUGAUUCUCCCUACUCUGAACAGCUGUGAUACAUAGUCAGUGAUGGGUGGACAGCCUUGUGCUGUUCGCGGCUAUGUGACACUACGGGUUUCGAGCCCAGUGCUUUCAGAUCGUAGGCUCUUUCUUUUCCAUCACUGUUUAAAAACCAUUUUCACCCCCAAACUCAUAUUGACUGAUGUACUUAUGCAAGAGAAAUCUUUGGCAUAAGCAAGUUAUUCAAACUAAGCACAACUCUUAGCAAUGGAUAUCUUGGUUCUC